UACGUAGGGCGCAAGCGUUGUCCGGAAUUAUUGGGCGUAAAGAGCUCGUAGGCGGCUUGUCACGUCGAUUGUGAAAGCCCGAGGCUUAACCUCGGGUCUGCAGUCGAUACGGGCUAGCUAGAGUGUGGUAGGGGAGAUCGGAAUUCCUGGUGUAGCGGUGAAAUGCGCAGAUAUCAGGAGGAACACCGGUGGCGAAGGCGGAUCUCUGGGCCAUUACUGACGCUGAGGCGCGAAAGCGUGGGGAGCGAACCGG
RNAcentral lists this ribosomal RNA (253 nucleotides) under uncultured bacterium. Its description in RNAcentral is "partial 16S ribosomal RNA". It matches the Rfam family "Bacterial small subunit ribosomal RNA", at positions 524 to 776 of the family's 1533-position model. The record is from RNAcentral.